GGAACCAAAUCUAAAGUAGAGUAGAUUAGUAAGAUCAGCUGACCAUACUAAUCUACUUUACUUCAAGUUUGUGCUC
Non-coding RNA from Haemonchus placei, 76 nucleotides. Lineage: Eukaryota; Metazoa; Nematoda; Chromadorea; Rhabditida; Trichostrongylidae. The record is from Rfam.